CAUAGCUGAGUGCCCAGCCCACACCCCGCAGGUGGGGCAGUGCUGGUCCUGGGUGCCUGGUGGGCUCAUCCUCCUUCCUAAGAUGCCGCCUCUCCACUCUUAGGGCUCUUUCAAGUGUGGUCCCUGCCGCCUGGGUUUCCUGGGCAACCAGAGCCAGGGCUGCCUCCCAGCCCGGACCUGCCACAGCCCAGCCCAUAGUCCCUGCCACAUCCAUGCUCACUGUCUCUUUGAACGCAAUGGUGCAGUGUCCUGCCAGUGUAACGUGGGCUGGGCUGGGAAUGGGAACGUAUGUGGGACUGACACAGACAUCGAUGGCUAUCCAGACCAAGCACUGCCCUGCAUGGACAACAACAAACACUGCAAACAGGACAACUGCCUUUUGACACCCAACUCUGGGCAGGAAGAUGCUGAUAAUGAUGGUGUGGGGGACCAGUGUGAUGACGAUGCUGAUGGGGAUGGGAUCAAGAAUGUUGAGGUGACUCCCAGAUUGCCCUGCCCCUUGAAGCUCCUCUCCUCUCCUCCUGUCCUCUCAGUGCCUCUCUUACCUCAUUUGGCAGCUCUCUAGGAAGGGCCCAAUACUCCAAAUCAGAGAGGCAAAAACCUCAUGCCCAGGACAAGGAAGCUGGGUGGGUGGGACUGUGUUGAGUAGUUUGUCCAUCACAAGAGUG
Molecule: long non-coding RNA, 668 nt
Organism: Piliocolobus tephrosceles (Ugandan red Colobus)
Lineage: Eukaryota; Metazoa; Chordata; Mammalia; Primates; Cercopithecidae
Exons: 3
Source: RefSeq, a predicted model, not a curated record